UAGGGAAUCUUCCGCAAUGGACGCAAGUCUGACGGAGCAACGCCGCGUGAGUGAAGAAGGAUUUCGGUUCGUAAAACUCUGUUGUUAGAGAAGAACAGCGCAUAGAGUAACUGUUAUGCGUGUGACGGUAUCUAACCAGAAAGCCACGGCUAACUACGUGCCAGCAGCCGUGGUAAUACGUAGGUGGCAAGCGUUGUCCGGAUUUAUUGGGCGUAAAGCGAGCGCAGGCGGUCAAUUAAGUCUGAUGUGAAAGCCCCCGGCUCAACCGGGGAGGGUCAUUGGAAACUGGUUGACUUGAGUGCAGAAGAGGAGAGUGGAAUUCCAUGUGUAGCGGUGAAAUGCGUAGAUAUAUGGAGGAACACCAGUGGCGAAGGCGACUCUCUGGUCUGUAACUGACGCUGAGGCUCGAAAGCGUGGGUAGCAAACAGG
RNAcentral lists this ribosomal RNA (429 nucleotides) under Bacteroidota bacterium. RNAcentral's name for it is "Bacteroidetes bacterium partial 16S ribosomal RNA". It matches the Rfam family "Bacterial small subunit ribosomal RNA", at positions 355 to 776 of the family's 1533-position model. Lineage: Bacteria; Pseudomonadati; Bacteroidota. The record is from RNAcentral.